CUGCUGGGGGGAGAUAAAGUGGAUGUGGGUAUCAAUGCCAGCGGCGGUCAGAAUAAGGUGCUCGCCGGAGAUAGCAUCGGUACUGACGCCGACGACCAUGCCAGGAGUGACGCCAUCCAUCAUGCCCGGAUUACCGCUUUUACCAAUACCGGCGAUGCGUCCGUUUUUAAUCCCAACGUCGGCUUUGAUAACGCCCAGGCGCGCGUCGAGAAUAGUGACGUUGGUGAUAACUAAAUCAAGGACCUCCGUGCUGCGCAUACGGUUAUCUGCGCCCAUACCGUCGCGC
Molecule: small RNA, 286 nt
Filed under: insect gut metagenome
Description: 5' ureB small RNA
Rfam family: 5' ureB small RNA
Source: RNAcentral